AUACGGAGGGUGCAAGCGUUGUUCGGAUUUACUGGGCGUAAAGCGCGCGUAGGCGGCUACUUAAGUCAGAUGUGAAAUCCCCGGGCUCAACCUGGGAACUGCAUCUGAUACUGGGUAGCUAGAGUUUAGGAGAGGGAAGUAGAAUUUCAGGUGUAGCGGUGAAAUGCAUAGAGAUCUGAAGGAAUACCAGUGGCGAAGGCGGCUUCCUGGCCUAAAACUGACGCUGAGGUGCGAAAGCGUGGGUAGCAAACGGGAUUAGAAACCCCGGUAGUCC
RNAcentral lists this ribosomal RNA (274 nucleotides) under uncultured bacterium. Its description in RNAcentral is "partial 16S ribosomal RNA". It matches the Rfam family "Bacterial small subunit ribosomal RNA", at positions 523 to 796 of the family's 1533-position model. The record is from RNAcentral.